This 697-nucleotide long non-coding RNA is filed under the name Cyanistes caeruleus (blue tit). RNAcentral's name for it is "lncRNA (ENSCCEG00000010812.1)". Lineage: Eukaryota; Metazoa; Chordata; Aves; Passeriformes; Paridae. The record is from RNAcentral.
UCACUGGUCUUGGUAUAUAGACCUUGAAAAUGGAUCCAAAUCAAAGGUUUUGUUACAGGGACCUUUAAACAAAGGGAUACCCAGGUGGAGCCAGGAGCCCAACUGAGCACAGGGCAGUAGCUGGAAGCUGCUGCACCCACUUGCUGUCAGAUACCAACCUGGGUUCCAGCAGAAACUGCUCAUUUAGUCAAUCUGUUAUAAAAUUAUCUAUUAGAAUAUUUCCACCCAGCUUUAACUGAAGAUUUUCACAGAGAUUUCACUACUCAGCUGGGGUCGUGUUAGUGUAAGUGUCCUUACUCUAGGUGGGGACUGGUACUCUGUGAGUGCUGUGAGACAUGAAAUACUUCUUCUCCUUGCUGAUAUCUUCCUGUUGUGCUGACAGGGUGAACGAGGAAUACCAGGGAGAAAAGGGGCCAAAGGACAGAAGGGGGAGCCAGGCCCUCCUGGACUGGAUCAGCCUUGUCCUGUGGGACCAGACGGACUGCCAGUAGCAGGAUGUUGGCAUAAGUGAACUCUAAGCAUGAAGCACAAUAUGUAAAUAAUGUGAUAUAUUUUGAUCUUUUAAUUUUUGUAUAAAAAAAGGAAAAAAACACUUUUGACAGUAAUAUAUUGACCUUUUUUUAUACUGGAUUCUGACAUUUAUGGACUUGGAAAAUAAUGUAAAGCUCCCAAACCCAUACCAUUGCAUGGUAACACC